GCUCGUAGGCGGCCUGUUGCGUCCGCUGUGAAAUCCCAGGGCUUAACCCUGGGCCUGCAGUGGAUACGGGCAGGCUGGAGGCAGGCAGGGGAGAACGGAAUUCCCGGUGUAGCGGUGAAAUGCGCAGAUAUCGGGAGGAACACCGGUGGCGAAGGCGGUUCUCUGGGCCUGUUCUGACGCUGAGGAGCGAAAGCGUGGGUAGCAAACAGGAUUAGAUACCCUGGUAGUCCACGCCGUAAACGUUGGGCGCUAGGUGUGGGUCCCUUCCACGGGGUCUGUGCCGCAGCUAACGCAUUAAGCGCCCCGCCUGGGGAGUACGGCCGCAAGGCUAAAACUCAAAGAAAUUGACGGGGGCCCGCACAAGCGGCGGAGCAUGUUGCUUAAUUCGACGCAACGCGAAGAACCUUACCAAGGUUUGACAUGGACCGAAAACUCAUGGAGACAUGGGGUCCUUCGGGGCGGUUCACAGGUGGUGCAUGGCUGUCGUCAGCUCGUGUCGUGAGAUGUUGGGUUAAGUCCCGCAACGAGCGCAACCCUCGUCCAAUGUU
RNAcentral lists this ribosomal RNA (548 nucleotides) under uncultured bacterium. Its description in RNAcentral is "bacterial SSU rRNA". It matches the Rfam family "Bacterial small subunit ribosomal RNA", at positions 567 to 1116 of the family's 1533-position model. The record is from RNAcentral.